CCUACGGGAGGCAGCAGUGGGGAAUUUUGGACAAUGGGCGCAAGCCUGAUCCAGCCAUGCCGCGUGCAGGAUGAAGGCCUUCGGGUUGUAAACUGCUUUUGUACGGAACGAAAAGACUCUGGUUAAUACCUGGGGUCCAUGACGGUACCGUAAGAAUAAGCACCGGCUAACUACGUGCCAGCAGCCGCGGUAAUACGUAGGGUGCGAGCGUUAAUCGGAAUUACUGGGCGUAAAGCGUGCGCAGGCGGUUAUAUAAGACAGAUGUGAAAUCCCCGGGCUCAACCUGGGAACUGCAUUUGUGACUGUAUAGCUAGAGUACGGCAGAGGGGGAUGGAAUUCCGCGUGUAGCAGUGAAAUGCGUAGAUAUGCGGAGGAACACCGAUGGCGAAGGCAAUCCCCUGGGCCUGUACUGACGCUCAUGCACGAAAGCGUGGGGAGCAAACAGGAUUAGAUACCCUGGUAGUCCACGCCCUAAACGAUGUCAACUGGUUGUUGGGUCUUCACUGACUCAGUAACGAAGCUAACGCGUGAAGUUGACCGCCUGGGGAGUACGGCCGCAAGGUUGAAACUCAAAUGAAAUUGACGGCUGAGACGNGCGACGGCGACACGAGGGAGGAGG
Molecule: ribosomal RNA, 619 nt
Filed under: uncultured bacterium
Lineage: Bacteria
Description: bacterial SSU rRNA
Rfam family: Bacterial small subunit ribosomal RNA
Source: RNAcentral